This 440-nucleotide ribosomal RNA is filed under the name uncultured bacterium. RNAcentral describes it as "bacterial SSU rRNA". It matches the Rfam family "Bacterial small subunit ribosomal RNA", at positions 338 to 770 of the family's 1533-position model. The record is from RNAcentral.
CCUACGGGUGGCAGCAGUGGGGAAUCUUCCGCAAUGGACGAAAGUCUGACGGAGCAACGCCGCGUGAGUGAUGACGGCCUUCGGGUUGUAAAGCUCUGUUAAUCGGGACGAAUGGUUCUUGUGCAAAUAGUGCGAGGAUUUGACGGUACCGGAAUAGAAAGCCACGGCUAACUACGUGCCAGCAGCCGCGGUAAUACGUAGGUGGCAAGCGUUGUCCGGAAUUAUUGGGCGUAAAGCGCGCGCAGGCGGAUCAGUUAGUCUGUCUUAAAAGUUCGGGGCUUAACCCCGUGAUGGGAUGGAAACUGCUGAUCUAGAGUAUCGGAGAGGAAAGUGGAAUUCCUAGUGUAGCGGUGAAAUGCGUAGAUAUUAGGAAGAACACCAGUGGCGAAGGCGACUUUCUGGACGAAAACUGACGCUGAGGCGCGAAAGCCAGGGGAGCG